This 494-nucleotide ribosomal RNA is filed under the name uncultured bacterium. Its description in RNAcentral is "partial 16S ribosomal RNA". It matches the Rfam family "Bacterial small subunit ribosomal RNA", at positions 28 to 507 of the family's 1533-position model. The record is from RNAcentral.
GACGAACGCUGGCGGCGUGCUUAACACAUGCAAGUCGAACGGAAAGGCCUGCUUUCCCUUGUGGAUUGCGGGUACUCGCGUGGCGAACGGGUGAGUAACACGUGAGUGAUCUGCCCCCAACUUGGGUAUAAGCCUGGGAAACUGGGUCUAAUUCCCGAUAGGACUGCAGGGUGGUGCCUGUGGUGGAAAACGAUUUUCUAGUGGUUGGGGAUGAGCUCGCGGCCUAUCAGCUUGUUGGUGGGGUAAUGGCCUACCAAGGCGGGGACGGGUAGCCGGCCUGAGAGGAUGGACAGUCACAUUGGGACUGGGACACGGCCCAGACUCCUACGGGAGGCAGCAGUGGGGAAUAUUGGACAAUGGGCGGAAGCCUGAUGCAGCGACGCCGCGUGGGGGAUGACGGCCUUCGGGUUGUAAACUCCUUGCGACCGCGAGGAAGCCACCUGGUUGGAAGGGUGGUGACGGUAGUGGUAGAAGAAGCACCGGCUAACUACGUG